ACAGGUGGACUUGCGCCCAUACAUAUGGGCGAUCGUUCUCUAUCAUGUGCCAUGAGCCAAUCUCGCAAGGCGGGGCAUCUGUGUCUGUCUCUUGAUAUUGGUCAUUUCGCUGGCCAUUUCCGCCGUAUUUUAUCAUGGCAACGAGUUCUCAAUCUACCAUGCUUCGGAAUGACGUGAUUGCUCCUAUGUCGCUCGGUCUACGAAAAACCGAAAAACACCCUUAGAUUCAUAUGUCAAUCACGAUGGACGAAUCCGUGAGAUACCAUUGCCUCCCCCUUCCCCCCCCGCUGCGCUCAACAACGGCACAAAAAGCCACACAAACUCACACAAAGCGUGUUUCGACUGGCGUAACGUGACGUUAACUCACUUCAUAUACAGGUAGGAGAAUGGUCCACAGAGAUAAAUCCAAAAAACCAAACUCAAAGCUAUGUGAUUUUUCCACAUCCUCUCUCUCCUCCUGAGCCUGUACAGACCAAACUUUUUAGUCAGGGGUUUAAAGCAAUUGGGAGAAUGCGGUAAUAUAAACCAGAUAAUGGAGGAAUGGAUGCAGGCGACAGGUUCUAAAUAAUAGUUCGCUAGGAUCACCAAUUUAAUGGAUAUGUCUAAUCCGUAUUGCUGGGACCAAAGAACCCCACACCGAAUGGGGAGGGAAUGAAUGAAAGGUAUAUAUAUAUAUAUAUAUAUAUAUAUGGAAAGAAAAAAGAAUCAUAGAAGUUUACCCAGUACUAAUAAUAGGCGUAGAAAUUGCUUUUUACAAACGCGGACAUAAUAAGGUAAUGAUAAGGAUAAUAAUAAUAAUAAUAGUCAAUGAAGAUAUGAAUAUAUGAAAUAAAAACUAAAAUAAUACCACGUCACGACGACGAACCCUGCUGUUGCUGCUGCUGUUGCUCAACCGCUCUCCCCCACACUUUCUCAAAACUCGGAGUGCCAUCGCCGUCACCGUCAUCAUCACGCCCACCAGCGGGCGGCACCGACGGAUGCUCAUGCUGUUGGAUCCCCAGGUCAUCAGUGCUCUCCUCACCCCCUAUAUCCGGCACGUCACCUUUCCCGCCGCUGCCCAACUCGCCAACGUCCGCCCUCGGUGCAGGGGAACCAGUUGAACCCUGGCGCGACGCGUUAUUGGCAUUGUCAGCAUUACCAUCAGCAGCUGUCGCUGAGGGCGAGCGUUCUCCCCACCAAAUCGAACCGUCCUCCUUGUCCGGGCUGCGGAGAGGCAGCGUCGCGUCAGCGAAGUUGGUGCUAUAGACAACGGCGGCGAAGGCUUCUAGUUCGCGCACGCCUUGUUCCAUGGCUGUGAGGUAGUCAUUGGGGGGUUUGGCGCCGUUUCCGAUUACAUGGGCUUGGCGCGCGAUUACGGCGAGGAUAGUUGCGAGCUUGGCCUUAGAGGGUGUAGUGGGGGCGGAGGUGUACGUGGCUGGAGUGAGGGUCACGGAUGAGGAGAAAUUUUGCAGGUGUUGUUGUUGCUGCUGAUGGUGCUGUAGCGUGGAGGAUGAGUGGUGGUGAGAAGGAAGGGGAUUUUUGAAGGCUUCGAUGGCGCAGUUUUUAUCGAUUAGGGUGGAGAAGGCUUCGUUGUUGAGAAGGGUAAAUAUUUGGCUGAAUUGUGGGGAGUCGAUGAGGUCGGAGGUCUCAUCUAGGAGAUGGCGGAGGCUGGAAUUGCUUUGUGGGGACGAGGCUUCCGAAGCCGAGAGGACGCCAGAUUCCUCCAGGACGUAAUUCUCCUGAUCCCGCGAGGGGAGGAGAUAUGGUAGCCACAUGGUAGAUCUGUAAACGGCGUUUUUUUUCGUUUAGUAUGCAAUCAACCAAAAAUAAAUAAAUAAAUAAAAAACGAAGUAUCCUAGGUACUAUGUUAGAAGGGGCAGAAUGCGUGGGCUCACUUUCGCUCUUCCUCCGUAGCACCUUCAAUCCUCUUCCGUACAGCGAGUGUCAAUUCGGAUAACCUUUCCUGCGUGAUAUCCUCUCGUGGAUUUACUGGUCCAAAUACAUCCUUGACAGCUUCCUUUGUCUUUUCCAUCAACUGUCGCCAGCCACGGUGUAGCAGCCACCAACUAAAUGUUAGAUAGCGACGAUUUGUUUCGAAGUCAUUGCCAAAGGCAUGCCCAAUGCGUUCGUCAUCAUGGUCCUCAAGAUUGAUAACUGACUGGUCCUGAGGAGGGGACGCGAGCGAUACCACGCUCGAGAGGUAAUUUCGUCUGCCGAGGAGGUUGAGCUGGAUGCGUGUGAGGAGGGUG
Molecule: small RNA, 2228 nt
Filed under: Histoplasma capsulatum
Lineage: Eukaryota; Fungi; Ascomycota; Eurotiomycetes; Onygenales; Ajellomycetaceae
Also listed under: 1 other name
Description: hypothetical RNA
Source: RNAcentral